GACGAACGCUGGCGGCGUGCUUAACACAUGCAAGUCGAACGGAAAGGCCCUGCUUUUGUGGGGUGCUCGAGUGGCGAACGGGUGAGUAACACGUGAGUAACCUGCCCUUGACUUUGGGAUAACUUCAGGAAACUGGGGCUAAUACCGGAUAGGAGCUCCUGCUGCAUGGUGGGGGUUGGAAAGUUUCGGCGGUUGGGGAUGGACUCGCGGCUUAUCAGCUUGUUGGUGGGGUAGUGGCUUACCAAGGCUUUGACGGGUAGCCGGCCUGAGAGGGUGACCGGCCACAUUGGAACUGAGAUACGGCCCAGACUCCUACGGGAGGCAGGAGUGGGGAAUAUUGCACAAUGGGCGGAAGCCUGAUGCAGCAACGCCGCGUGCGGGAUGACGGCCUUCGGGUUGUAAACCGCUUUCGCCUGUGACGAAGCGUGAGUGACGGUAAUGGGUAAAGAAGCACCGGCUAACUACGU
This 467-nucleotide ribosomal RNA is filed under the name uncultured bacterium. RNAcentral describes it as "partial 16S ribosomal RNA". It matches the Rfam family "Bacterial small subunit ribosomal RNA", at positions 28 to 506 of the family's 1533-position model. The record is from RNAcentral.